Molecule: ribosomal RNA, 406 nt
Filed under: uncultured bacterium
Lineage: Bacteria
Description: partial 16S ribosomal RNA
Rfam family: Bacterial small subunit ribosomal RNA
Source: RNAcentral
AUUGAACGCUGGCGGAAGGCCUAACACCUGCAAGUCGAACGAGUGGCGGACGGGUGAGUAAUGUCUGGGAAACUGCCUGAUGGAGGGGGAUAACUAUUGGAAACGGUAGCUAAUACCGCAUACCAUCGGAUGUGCCCAGAUGGGAUUAGCUAGUAGGUGGGGUAACGGUUCACCUAGGCGACGAUCCCUAGCUGGUCUGAGAGGAUGACCAGCGAGACUGGGACGGAGACACGGGGCAGACUCCUACGGGGGGUCGAAGUGUAGAAUAUUGCACAGUAGGCGCAAGCCUGAUACAGCCAAGCCGCGUGUAUGAAGAAGGCCUUCGGGUUGUAAAGUACUUUCAGAGGGGGGGCGUUACCCGCAGAAGAAGCACCAGCUAACUCCGUGCCAGCAGCCGCGGUAAUAC